UGGAUCCAGACUUUGAUUAUGGCUCAGGAUGAACGCUAGCUACAGGCUUAACACAUGCAAGUCGAGGGGAAACGAUAUUGGAAGCUUGCUUCCGAUAGGCGUCGACCGGCGCACGGGUGAGUAACGCGUAUCCAACCUGCCCAUCACUUGGGAAUAACCUUGCGAAAGUAAGACUAAUGCCCAAUGACAUUUAUAGAAGGCAUCUGAAAUGAAUUAAAGAUUUAUCGGUGAUGGAUGGGGAUGCGUCUGAUUAGCUUGUCGGCGGGGUAACGGCCCACCAAGGCGACGAUCAGUAGGGGUUCUGAGAGGAAGGUCCCCCACAUUGGAACUGAGACACGGUCCAAACCCCUACGGGAGGCAGCAGUGAGGAAUAUUGGUCAAUGGGCGAGAGCCUGAACCAGCCAAGUAGCGUGCAGGAUGACGGCCCUAUGGGUUGUAAACUGCUUUUAUAGGGGAAUAAAGUGAGCCACGUGUGGUUUUUUGCAUGUACCCUAUGAAUAAGGACCGGCUAAUUCCGUGCCAGCAGCCGCGGUAAUACGGAAGGUCCGGGCGUUAUCCGGAUUUAUUGGGUUUAAAGGGAGC
This 582-nucleotide ribosomal RNA is filed under the name uncultured Bacteroidota bacterium. RNAcentral's name for it is "bacterial SSU rRNA". It matches the Rfam family "Bacterial small subunit ribosomal RNA", at positions 1 to 570 of the family's 1533-position model. Lineage: Bacteria; Pseudomonadati; Bacteroidota. The record is from RNAcentral.